Molecule: non-coding RNA, 7890 nt
Organism: Pelobates cultripes (western spadefoot toad)
Lineage: Eukaryota; Metazoa; Chordata; Amphibia; Anura; Pelobatidae
Source: the annotation of a GenBank genome assembly
AAUAGAAUUGCUUAAAACAUUCCUUUUAGAUUAUAGCAAUGCAUGUUGCUGUCGCCAGUACAUAAUACACAGGACAAUCAUAACUGUGAAAGUCUAUUUAUUUCAAGAAAGAAGGAUAAUUGUCACUUACAUUGUACUUAUAUGAAAGGACAUAAAUGGGAACGAGAGAACAGAGACACAUUCAUCUGAACAGUGAAAAGAUCAAGGCACCUUCUAGAGUCCAAAGGGCAAUUUAGCAGUGCACUUUGGUUCUGUUUAUUAUUUUAUGGAAACCCUUAAGUAUGUAAUAUCAUUAUUAUUUUAUUUUGACAAUCACACACAUGAGUUGCAAAAACAAUAACAAUAAUAAAAAAAUAAACCGCUAAACCGCUAAAGGGUUCCUUAGGGGAAAUGGGGGAACUCUUUGCGCUAGCUCUGCUUUUCAGGUAGGCUGCUACAGGAUUAGUUAAAAUUAAUUUUUUAUUUUAUUUUUAACAAUCCUUUGCUGAAAUCCCAGCCAACAGCACAUUAGCCAUACUGGCAGCAAAUAACAAUCCUUUGCUGAAAUCCCAGCCAACAGCACAUUAGCCAUACUGGCAGCAAAAUCACUAUGAGGCAACAGAAUGGUCUUUUCUAAUGGCAAUAUAGAUAGUUUAACUAAAAGGUUGUGUUUGGGGAGUAAUACCUGGAGAUAAUUUUAUGAAACAGCUUUUUAGAAGGCAACAUUUUUAAGGUGACCAGCAGCUGUGGGUUAUACUUCCCAAAAAACUGUGCCAAUUAGCGGGAAGGCCAAGCAUCAUGAACUUCCUUAUCCCUUCCAGAAAAGCUGGAACACACACCAAAAAAAAAAAAAAACAGCCAGAUCAUCGUAUGAUACAAUGAACUUUCUAUACAAAAAGGACCUAUCCGCUUAAACCACUCAUGCUAGUGUAUUUAUACCGUCUGAUUACCAGAAUGCUACCGUUCUGGUCAAUAACUAGCAUUGUCCCCUGAAGCCUCCCAUUAUUUGGAUUUACAUUGGUCCUGAUAUUGGGUAGAUCAUGUAUGGUCAAACUUAGAAAAAUGAAAGCAGCUUUUAGCAUUCAAACUGCAGUGGAAAGCAUGGAGUAAAGCAUCAUAGGAGAUGUGGUCUACGGCAACUGGAAUGCCAUUGAGUCUUGGACCUUGGUUUUUUUUUAGUUUUUUUUUUUUAUUACUUUACUCGCAACUGUUACAGACUUGAUGUUAAUACAGUCCUAUAGAAAUAGUUAAUGGUAUACAUUUCUGAGAAGAAAAAAAAACACUUCUAGUGGCUGGAAGACAAAGAGCCACUAGAUGCACUUCCUUAGACCUUCAAAUCAGCUGAAAGCAUCCAAUUCAGUGCUUCUCAAUGAGAAGCAUCAAAGUAGUGAGGUUCAGAAAUUGCCCUUCUCCCUGAUGAUUCUUUACUGAGAUCACCAGAACAGAAGGCAGAGCAGCUGCCAAGUAAAGACUUAGGUGGUGUUGUAUUUUACAUUUCUUAAUUUUUAAACAAGGGAAGCCUGAAUCUACAAGGAAGGCCUGAACUUUAAAAAUAAAUAAAAUUUUAAUCUUGGAAUGAGUGAUGCUUACAUGAGUAGCCAAAAUGUACUGUAUCCAGUAUUUCAAUGAAUGGGCCACUUUCAAGUAUGGAGGUAGCUAAUCAGAGGUUGUAUGCAAUAGACAAAGUAUAUACAAUAACCUUAUUCUGCAGGUUGCUCUAUGUGGAUAUAUACUGGCUGUAGGUCAUGAGCAUUGUAGUUCAGAAACAUACCAGGUCUAAGUGGUGUUGAUAACUUCGCAUAUGAUUCUUUGUUAGUCUUUUACUGAAAUAUAUGCAGUGCAAUUGUAUAUAUAUUUAUAUAUAUAUUUACUUUAGUAGUCUCAUAUUAUCCAGAGGAAAAUGUGCAAUGAAAUGCAAUUAUUAUUAUUUAUUAUUUUAUGCUCCCACUUUUUAUCACUCUGGAAACUCCCCAAGAGAGCACGUUACCUAGUAAUUUACAAUUUGUCUGUCUUGUUACCAUGUCUACAGAGAUUUAACCACUCCUGUUUUAACACCUAUAAACCAGCAAAUACUGAAUACUUAGCAAUUACAAUUUAAUGUGCACAAUUUAGGCCCAAAAAGUGGAUUUAAAAAAAAAAAAUGCAAUUCAUUUACUUUAAACUUGGCUAUUUUGUCCUAGAUUUUUAAUUUUAAAUGGUUAUUAAAUAAAGUGAUAAAUUCCAAGUUAAGGCCAAACCAACUGAACUGGUAGCAUUGCCUACUGAUAAUAAUAAUGCAUAUUUUAUCAGUUUUUGCUCUUUAAAUUUUAUAUUCACUUUUCAUUCCCCAAUUUAGUAAAUAACCCAGUUAAAGGACCACUAUAGUGCCAAGAAAAAAAACUUGUUUUCCUGGCACUAUAGUGCCCUGAGGGUGCCCCCACCCUCAGGGUCCCACUCCCGCCGUGCUGAAGGGGGUUAAACACUCACCUUUCUCAAUGAGACAACCACUAGAGGCUGAAUUAACCCAUUUGUAAACAUAGCAGUUUCUUGGAAACUGCUAGGUUUACAGCAGGCAGGGUUAAUCCUAGAUGGACCUGGCACCCAGAACACUUCAUUAAGCUGAAGUGGUCUGGGUGCCUAUAGUGGUCCUUUAAUGUUAAAAAUAAAAUCUACACAAUUGGAUUUUUUUUAAAUAAAUAACUUUUAUCACCAGAGAUUUGAAUAAAUGUUGGCUGAGGAGGGGAUUUCCUGUAAGUUUCCCAUCUAUCACUUAGCAAAAUGCAUUAAACUGAGAACAUAAAUGUAAUUUAGUAAAUAAUCACCAUCCCCAAAUAUUACCAACGGACAGACCAGGGCUUGCUCCUCUACUCUACGCAUCCCGAAUCAUGCUAGUUUCAUAGAUCUUCAUGUUACUUGGCUUUAAGCAAAUGAAAAUGCUUCAUAUCACCAACAAAAAAAAUAAAAAUCGAAAACCUAAAAAGUAUAAAAAUUCCCUAAUGUGAUAUGAUUAUUUUAUAAACUUAAUGCAGUGCAUCACCUUCCUUGGUUAUAAAUUGGGUUUGGUAAACAAAAUAGAUUAAUCCAGGGGAAUGUCAGGAGCCGUGUUUCAAUUAUGGAGAUUUCAAUGAACAGAGACGCUUAGAUAAAGGAAGAAGCCACUCUCUGAAUUAAAUAUUUUAUAGAUUAAAUCAGUUUAAAUUAAACAUUACAGAGACAUUCCUAAUAAGAGACUGAGCUCUCCAAUCUAAACACUGAGUCCAUAAGCAGUUUACUAAAAUAGGGCGCACUCUUGCAUAAAAUCUAAGGCUGGAAUGGGUUGACAGAUAUUUAUAUUUUUAUUUAUAUUUAAAAAAGGAAAAAAACACAAUUAUUUAAAAGAUUUUCAAUUAUAUUAGUUUGCGCUGUACUGCAUAGUAUUUGCUAUUAUAUUUUUCAUUGUAAUCAAAAGACAGAGAUUGUGCUAUAACUGACCUACAACUCCCAUGCACCUCAGCUGAUAACACAAUAAUGAGAAUCCAACUGUACAAAAGACAGCAUUGGAUACGUUGCUUAUUUCUCAUACCAGGCAUCCAGUCAAAUUAAGUAUCAACAAAUGUGCAUUUUUGGACGUGAUCUAAAAAAGCAGGUCUCUUUUUUUUUUCUUGUUCUUAAGCUGAGCCCCUUAAAUUUGUAUGACCUAAAGUAAUAAAACCACUUCAAAACAGCAAUGCAAAUCUAUUAUCCCUUGUCCGCUCUCCCCCUUCUUUUCUCCAGUUUUACUCAACUUGCCCUGCACAUAGGUGCAUUUCAAUAGAACUUCUGAGGAUCUUGGCAUUUCAUAAUCUAAAGCCAUCUGAAGGAUAGCCUUGGGAAUAACUCUUUAGUAGAAGAGCUCAAAAGUGAUCAUCAAUCAACAGCAGUUGCGCAGGGUUCUAUGCUUUUCUUACAAAAAGAUUGUGUGAGUAAGGUCAAUAUGAUAGAGUCCAGAUAGAUAGGUCUAAAGUUCCUAUUUCAGGUCCAGUGCUGGCAAGAUCUGCUGUAGAGAUGCAUUGACAGGGAGACUUUGGGGCCAAAACAUUCUCCAUAAAAAGGCAACUUCUGUUGCUUCAUCAGUUUACUGAAUUAGAAAUGUUCACAAAAACUAUUAAAUUUAAAACUUAAAGAAUCCAAUUUAAUUUAAAUGAACACUCCAAGCAACUACAGUGCACUCAAGUGCUUAUGGUGGUAGUAUUGCCAUCCCGUGGUAAAUAAUUAAACCGUUUUAGUAAGGUUUGCCAACCCAGCUGGUCACCCAGGCACCUCAUGGGGGUUAAUUUGCAUGUAGAGUUGUCUGUAGUAUUAACUUGUACAUAUUAGUGCAGACCUGAUUGUAAAGCCUGCACAUAUUUGGAAUCCUGGCAAAUAUACCAUUGUCUAUUCUAGUAUAACCAUCCUCUCUAUGACUGUACAGUCAUGGAGAGUAUUUCCUCAUAUUGUUUCCUCGGCUUGCUGUAUUGUUGUACUAAUAAGCCCACAGAGUAUACUCCAAGAGCUGUUUUACUUGUUUCUAGUCUUGUCGGUAAAUAGCUACCAUAAGCGGUCACUAUUUACAAUGGUCAGUAAACUGGUGGUGACUGCUAAUGACUGAUUGGCUGGCUGACUGCUAGUAAUGUCUACUCACAAAAUUCCAAUCACUCCCAGAUUAGCCACUCGCUGAUAAAGAACACAUUGCCUAUGUACUAACUACUAGUCAAACCAAAAAAGGGUCACCAUAAGUAUAUUACUUUAUCCUAUAAUGGUCUUCCUCACACAGUAUUGCUAGUGUAUACAAUGUAUUAACCUGUGAUUCUGUGCAAUGCUAGAUAUAUAUGUAUGUAACUUUUGAUGUGAAUUUAUGCUAUACUAGUUGGUAAAGGGCAUCCAGGUAUCAUUCCAGUCACACUUCCAGAUAAUUGAAAAUGGGACAUACUCCAUACUGCUUUACAACUCUCCCAUAGAAAGCUGAAGAUAUUCAACAAAACCUUGCAAACACGAUUUAUUUAUUUUUUUCAUUUGUCUUCCUCUUCCAAAAGGAAGACAAAGCACACAGAAAACAUGGUACAAGGGCAUAGCUAGACAUGCAGAGCAGUCUGCACAUGUGCAGCUCAGAAUGGGCUGGGCAGUGAGAUGUGCAUUAGCGCCAGGCUGGCAUGCUGCUUUUUCCAGGCAUGUCUGCCCAUCUAUUGCCUAUGAAGCGUGCCACAUCGUUUACAUGCCACCCUCCCAGCCUAAUCCCAAUUUUAUACUUCCCAGUGAAACUUUGAAACAUAAAUGAGCAUAUAAAAUAAGUUAAAGUAUGUGCAUAAACGGUUCACUUAAUAACUAUCUGAAAAUUAACAAUUAUUCUUUGCAGUUCUAUGAUGAGGUAACUUGUGAGACCAGCGUAUGAUUUAAUAAUUGAGUGAUACAAUAAGUUACUUUCACCAGUAAGAAAUAUAAAAAUCCAUAUAUUUGUUUAAAAGUGUGUUUUUAGCAGUAUAAUACAAUACCUAUCCGUCCUUUAUUGAAGGAGCUUGCGAAUAUUAAAUUGGAAGACACAGGUUUAAGCUACUGAUCCCAAAAAGAAAUCUGGUACACAGAGAUAGCUAGUCACUAAUUAUACAAUGAGCUAUGUACAUAUUUUCUGUCUUAAUUUUUAAGCUGUUACUUGUUAGUGAAAUGUUUAUGCACUUAUUAGAACUUGUGCUUUACACUUAUUAAUGUUUUUAAGUGUUUUUUUGUUUUUUUGAUCUUUUUCGGCUUUGGCAUAUUCUGGGGGAUUUUAUGGUUAUAUGUUCACAGGAUUUGGAGAUAUUGUGGUUAUAUGGUUCAGUGGUUGGGUUUAUAAUACAUCUAUUAAGCAUUUAUUUUUCCUCUGGACAUUUGCACUGUCUGUUUUAUAUAUUGUUGUUUUAAGGAAUACAUUCUUGCAUGUUACUUGUGGUGGGUAUUGCUUUGAGAUGUAGAAUCUAGAAUGGGUGUUGGAAUUCUAGUAUGGAACAUUUUUUUUUUUUUUUAAACUUACUAGCAAUGAUGGGUUAACUCUCAAGAUUAGCAGUUUGCAGGCUUUAAGCAAAGCCUACAUAAAAUCUAAUGUUAUUAAGGUUGCUUUUCCUCUCCGUACAUCUGCUUGUCUUUUUUUAUUUUAUUAUUUUUAAUUUUUUUUAAAAAAAACCAUUGUUUUGCAGAUGUACUGCAGAUGUAAGUUCCAAAUAAAAGCAGCAUUGGAGAUAACAUUGCAGGCUCUGUCCAUGGUACUAACUGUACAACCACGUGUGUGUGUUGGAGGAUUCAGGGAAAUUGUUUACAAGCCUUUUCUUGAAUCUGGAACAAGGAAUUUAAUAAGUGGAUAUUAUCUAACGUCUAAAAUGUUGACAUUACAAUAAUUGGUUUAAUAAAGUGCACCGACAAAGCAUUUUCAGAGAGCGUAAGAGAGACAAGGAAAACUAUCUCACUGAGUGCAAAGCUAAGUAAGUUGAUCAUCAAUAAUCAUGACACAGUUGCAGCAUAAAAGGCAGACACAACAGAAUACUGGAUCAAGGGUAGCAUCCCGCAACACUCCACUUGCACACAUUUGAGAACUCCUAUCACUCUUUCGCAGUAACAAUGAAACUUAUGUGCAGCGGACACCCAGAAAAGGUGGUAGAAACUAGGCAUAGAGUAGAAUGCAAAAUAUAGCCUGGCAACCAGCAAUUCUUCAACAUAUUAGGACUGCAAUCCACAUCAUCCUUCAUCUGCCUCUGUCUGACAGUGAUUAGUGAGAGUUGUGGCAUAAAAGUUUGUUCGGAUCUGCUAAAAGGCAAAACCCAAGCUCAGACUGAAUGUUGGGUAAGAAGAUGGAAGACUUGAUGUAUGCGGGCAAAGUGUUUAUUUUGUGCUCUUUGUACCCUGCCAGCUGUAAGGUUCAUUGCUAUGUGUGUAUGUCUAAUCUUGCCAUAUCCGGUAACUACAUUGUGCAAAGAGACGUUAUCCAAUUUAGCCUCCCAGAUGCUGGGUGUCUUGGAGGUCACAGACUAACAGGCUUAGCUCAGACACAAAGCGGGAGAGAUGACAGUGAGCUUGACAGCUGGGAUUCCCACAUCACAUUACAGCCUACAACUGCUAACAGUCCCACUGAGUGCCCCUGGUCCCUCGGGAAGAGACUGCUAAUCCUCCCCACAAUCUCCUAUUUGUAGAACAAGGUGUAGAUUUGGAGGCGCCUCCUCGCAUGUGUGUAGGAACAGGGGGAUAAGGUGUAGGGGGAAAAAUCCUUAAAUCUGGCUUGUAAGAUUGUUUCACUGUUUAAGUAAAAUUAAAAAAACAAAACAAGUUUAAAGACUGGGUUAAUUAAUUCUAAUAGACUUCCAAGGGCCUCGAUAUGAUAUUUUUUUUCAGUUGAAAUAUAUGUAUGCUUUGUAAAUGGGGCAGAGAAUAAAUGUGCUGUCCUCUCAGAUUUACUUUGGUUCCUACGCCAUCGCCUAUUCUCCAAAGCAUGAGGCACAAAAACAGAAGGAAAUACACUCCAGAAACUAAUUAUCAAAACCUUCCAAUUGCAACAUUAGAUUUUAAAAAUGGCUAGAUGUAUGUACAUGUGCUAUAGCUGAUGGGCAUACUGCAUCAAUCAAUGAAAAUAUUUUCUGUUGAAAGUGGCACUGUCACUUUUUAGUUUUCCAUAAAGAGAAAAUCGUUAGGAACAAUUUACACAAUACUCUGUUGCAAUUUCACAGAACAUUUCAAAACAUAUACAUGAAACAGGUAGGCUAGUAUUGGAUUAUGUCAAAAUAUGGCCUCAAAAACCCAACAAAUAUAAUAUGGGAGAAAGCAAUAAUGCAUUAAUAAGCUUCCUUGUCUUGCCAUUUCCCAACUCUCAACAAUGGGGAAUAGGCAUCUUCACAUCUGUGGUACAUCAUUGCACAAUUGCAGGAUGAUCUGUGUUGGUUCCUGUGGGAUACUCAAUUGACCCUCGUUUUGUAUUUU